GAUCCUGGCUCAGGAUAAACGCUAGCGGCAGGCCUAAUACAUGCAAGUCGAACGGUGUCUUCGGACAUAGUGGCGCACGGGUGCGUAACACGUAUGCAACCUACCUUACAUUGGGGGAUAGCCUUUCGAAAGGGAGAUUAAUACCGCAUAAGACAGUAACUAGGCAUCUAGUAGCUGUUAAAGAUUUAUCGAUGUAAGCUGGGCAUGCGACCAAUUAGCUUGUUGGUGAGGUAACGGCUCACCAAGGCUAUGAUUGGUAGGGGAACUGAGAGGUCAAUCCCCCACACUGGCACUGAGAUACGGGCCAGACUCCUACGGGAGGCAGCAGUAGGGAAUAUUGGGCAAUGGACGCAAGUCUGACCCAGCCAUGCCGCGUGCAGGAUGAAGGCGUUAUGCGUUGUAAACUGCUUUUAUACAGGAAGAAACGACUCUUGCGAGAGGCAUUGACGGUACUGUAUGAAUAAGCACCGGCUAACUCCGUGCCAGCAGCCGCGGUAAUACGGAGGGUGCAAGCGUUGUCCGGAUUUAUUGGGUUUAAAGGGUGCGCAGGUGGUUUAUUAAGUCAGUGGUGAAAGACGGUCGCUCAACGAUUGCAGUGCCAUUGAAACUGGUAGACUUGAGUAAAGUAGAGGUGGGCGGAAUUGAUAGUGUAGCGGUGAAAUGCAUAGAUAUUAUCAAGAACUCCAAUUGCGUAGGCAGCUCACUUGGCUUUUACUGACACUCAUGCACGAAAGUGUGGGUAUCAAACAGGAUUAGAUACCCUGGUAGUCCACACUGUAAACGAUGAUAACUAGGUGUCGGCCGAAUCUGGUCGGUGCCACAGCGAAAGCGUUAAGUUAUCCACCUGGGGAGUACGCCGGCAACGGUGAAACUCAAAGGAAUUGACGGGGGUCCGCACAAGCGGUGGAGCAUGUGG
RNAcentral lists this ribosomal RNA (916 nucleotides) under uncultured bacterium. RNAcentral's name for it is "bacterial SSU rRNA". It matches the Rfam family "Bacterial small subunit ribosomal RNA", at positions 15 to 944 of the family's 1533-position model. The record is from RNAcentral.